RNAcentral lists this ribosomal RNA (463 nucleotides) under uncultured bacterium. RNAcentral's name for it is "partial 16S ribosomal RNA". It matches the Rfam family "Bacterial small subunit ribosomal RNA", at positions 28 to 507 of the family's 1533-position model. The record is from RNAcentral.
GAUGAACGCUGACAGAAUGCUUAACACAUGCAAGUCUUUGGCGAAGCUGUGCUUGCACAGCCUAGCCAAGGCGGACGGGUGAGUAACGCGCAAGGAACUUGCCCUGCAGUCAGGGAUAACAGACGGAAACGACUGAUAAGACCUGGUAAAGUCAGGCGGACUCAUGUCCAGCCUGAUGAAAAGAGAUGCUGCAGGAGAGCCUUGCGUCCUAUUAGCUUGUUGGUGGGGUAACGGCCCACCAAGGCGAUGAUAGGUAGCCGGCCUGAGAGGGUGGACGGCCACAAGGGGACUGAGAUACGGCCCUUACUCCUACGGGAGGCAGCAGUGGGGAAUAUUGGACAAUGGGGGCAACCCUGAUCCAGCAAUUCUGUGUGCACGAUGAAGGUUUUCGGAUUGUAAAGUGCUUUCAGCAGGGAAGAAAAAAAUGACGGUACCUGCAGAAGAAGCGACGGCUAAAUACGUG